Molecule: transfer RNA, 72 nt
Filed under: Camelus bactrianus (Bactrian camel)
Lineage: Eukaryota; Metazoa; Chordata; Mammalia; Artiodactyla; Camelidae
Also listed under: 2 other names
Rfam family: tRNA
About the family: Transfer RNA (tRNA) molecules are approximately 80 nucleotides in length. Their secondary structure includes four short double-helical elements and three loops (D, anti-codon, and T loops). Further hydrogen bonds mediate the characteristic L-shaped molecular structure. tRNAs have two regions of fundamental functional importance: the anti-codon, which is responsible for specific mRNA codon recognition, and the 3' end, to which the tRNAs corresponding amino acid is attached (by aminoacyl-tRNA synthetases). tRNAs cope with the degeneracy of the genetic code in two manners: having more than one tRNA (with a specific anti-codon) for a particular amino acid; and 'wobble' base-pairing, i.e. permitting non-standard base-pairing at the 3rd anti-codon position.
Source: Rfam by way of RNAcentral
GAGGGAAUAGCUCAGUGGUAGAGCGCAUGCCUAGCAUGCGCAAGGUCCUGGGUUCAAUCCCCAGUACCUCCA